Molecule: ribosomal RNA, 253 nt
Filed under: uncultured bacterium
Lineage: Bacteria
Description: partial 16S ribosomal RNA
Rfam family: Bacterial small subunit ribosomal RNA
Source: RNAcentral
UACGUAGGGUGCGAGCGUUGUCCGGAAUUAUUGGGCGUAAAGAGCUCGUAGGCGGCUUGUCGCGUCGGAUGUGAAAGCCCGGGGCUUAACCCCGGGUCUGCAUUCGAUACGGGCAGGCUAGAGUUCGGUAGGGGAGAUCGGAAUUCCUGGUGUAGCGGUGAAAUGCGCAGAUAUCAGGAGGAACACCGGUGGCGAAGACGGAUCUCUGGGCCGAUACUGACGCUGAGGAGCGAAAGCGUGGGGAGCGAACAGG